This 425-nucleotide ribosomal RNA is filed under the name Sesamia cretica. RNAcentral's name for it is "partial 16S large subunit ribosomal RNA". Lineage: Eukaryota; Metazoa; Arthropoda; Insecta; Lepidoptera; Noctuidae. The record is from RNAcentral.
GGCUGCAGUAUAUUGACUGUACAAAGGUAGCAUAAUCAUUAGUCAUUUAAUUGAUGACUUGUAUGAAGGAUUGGAUGAAAUAUAAACUGUCUCUUAAUUAUUGAAUAGAAUUUAAUUUUUUAAUUAAAAAGUUAAAAUAUAUUAAAAAGACGAGAAGACCCUAUAGAUUUUUAUAAAAAAUUUAGUUAAUAUUAUUUAUGAAAAAUUAAAAUUAAAAUUAAAUUUAUUUAUUGUAUUGGGGUGAUAGAAAAAUAUAAAAAACUUUUUAUAUAUUAAAACAUUUAUAAGUGGUUAAAUGAUCCAAUAUUAUUGAUUAUAAGAAAAAAUUACCUUAGGGAUAACAGCGUAAUUUUUUUUUUUAGUUCGUAUAAGAAAAAGAGUUUGCGACCUCGAUGUUGGAUUAAGAUAAAAUUUAAAUGCAGAAG